AAGUCGUAACAAGGUAACCGUAGGUGAACCUGCGGUUGGAUCAUUAACAAAUUUAAAAUAGAAGAUCUCUUUUUAAGAGUUUCUAUCUAUCCACAUUUUGUGAACCUAUUUAUGUCUCUGGUGUGUAAUAUUGAUCAGGGUUUUUUAACAAGAACACUGUGUGUUUACACACCAAUAUAUAACCUUUAAACUUGAUGACUUAAAACUUUUAAAAGCCUAUAAGAUUAACAUAUCAAAAAUUAUAAAACAACUUUUGACAACGGAUCUCUAGGCUCUC
This 277-nucleotide unclassified non-coding RNA is filed under the name fungal sp. RNAcentral's name for it is "partial internal transcribed spacer region". The stretch from base 1 to 46 matches the Rfam family "Eukaryotic small subunit ribosomal RNA", at positions 1786 to 1831 of the family's 1831-position model. Lineage: Eukaryota; Fungi. The record is from RNAcentral.